RNAcentral lists this long non-coding RNA (903 nucleotides) under Homarus americanus (American lobster). Its description in RNAcentral is "uncharacterized LOC121860637, transcript variant X2". Lineage: Eukaryota; Metazoa; Arthropoda; Malacostraca; Decapoda; Nephropidae. The record is from RNAcentral.
AGGCUGGACUGUGUCUCCGCUCGGCUUUUGUCUUGUAACCAAACUCUAGUGGCUUCUUGUGUUGUCUCAGCGUGAUCACCCUGUUCAAGAUGUUUAACUGUAUUAAAGAGUUAUUUGUGGGCAUUUAUGGCGGGCCAAUAUAUUUCACAGUGAAAGCUUUGCACCGAAGAAAAAAGAACUUCAACAGGUCAUCAGUGGCCCAGUGGAGGAGGUGCACAGUACAGGAAGACUUACCUCGUUGGCAGCUGAUAAUGAUUCUUCACUGGCCAAGCUGAAGCAGUUGUUGGCUCUGACAGUGUGGCCUGGAAUGGAAGUCACUCGGUACGUCACCCGGUGGACCGGUUCCAGCGCAGCGCUACAGUAAGCCGAACUCCACCCCCCAGUCACUGCCUCCAAACCAAGAGCCUCUAACCCAGGUGACACACUCUGCACCUUACCAAGUUGGUGGAAGCUGAGGUGAUAUUGGACACACAGCUGGCAUAUAACCAGCUGCCCUACAUGGAAGCGCUGGUGUUGUGUUCAGCCGUGGCAACCAAACAAAGUGACCGGAAGAAGCUGGUGACUGACGCUCACUCGACAGUGUGGGAGCUGUGUACAGACACCCACCUCUUCUUUCUCUUCAUUCAAAUAUCUAAGAUGAUCUCAAAGCAAGCGGGACACUCGGGUUGGGGUCGUGGGCUGUGUGGUACCUGAGCUGGGAGCCUCGACGCCUUGGAGUUCACACGACACUACAGCGCGUACUGGUGGACCCACCGCGACGUCGUCAGAUUAGCACACUUGAAGCUUCGUGUUGGUCACACAAAAUAUAUAUAUGUGUAUAUAUAUUAGUUCUUGAUUUGAUAAGUGGCAGGACUGAAGUAAACACUUUAUUGGUUUUAUUUUAUUGUAGAAAAAUAUAGUUUC